GCUCCAGUGGCGCAAUCGGUUAGCGCGCCGUACUUAUAUGACAGUUACGGAGUAAUGCGGAGGUUGUGAGUUCGAGCCUCACCUGGAGCA
Ciona savignyi (Pacific transparent sea squirt) is the source of this 90-nucleotide non-coding RNA. The record is from Rfam. NCBI's taxonomy places the organism in Eukaryota, Metazoa, Chordata, Ascidiacea, Phlebobranchia, Cionidae.